CAGAGUUCGUGCCCUUCGGGGUAGACCUCCCACCCUUGUGUAAUUAUACCUUUGUUGCUUUGGCAGGCCGCGAGGCUUCGGCCUUGCUACCGGCUCCGGCUGGUAUGUGCCUGCCAGAGGACCCAAACUCUGAAUUUAAUGUCGUCUGAUUACUAUAUAAUAGUUA
Molecule: unclassified non-coding RNA, 166 nt
Filed under: uncultured Phialocephala
Lineage: Eukaryota; Fungi; Ascomycota; Leotiomycetes; Helotiales
Description: sequence contains ITS1
Source: RNAcentral